AGGCCAUUGCUAUCGGGGUCCGAUUUAGCCAUGCUAGUUGUACGAGUUCAUACUCGUAGCAAAUAGCUCCGUAACACGUGGCCAAACUACCCUACAGAGAACGAUAACCUCGGGAAACUGAGGCUAAUAGUUCAUACCCGUCUCGCGCUGGAAUAGCGAGACGCGCAAAUGUUCCGACGCUGUAGGACGUGGCUGCGGCCGAUU
This 204-nucleotide ribosomal RNA is filed under the name uncultured Halobacteria archaeon. Its description in RNAcentral is "partial 16S ribosomal RNA". It matches the Rfam family "Archaeal small subunit ribosomal RNA", at positions 21 to 226 of the family's 1478-position model. The record is from RNAcentral. Lineage: Archaea; Methanobacteriati; Methanobacteriota; Halobacteria.